RNAcentral lists this ribosomal RNA (450 nucleotides) under uncultured bacterium. Its description in RNAcentral is "partial 16S ribosomal RNA". It matches the Rfam family "Bacterial small subunit ribosomal RNA", at positions 354 to 796 of the family's 1533-position model. The record is from RNAcentral.
GUGGGGAAUAUUGGACAAUGGGCGCAAGCCUGAUCCAGCAAUGCCGCGUGCAGGAAGAAGGCCUUCGGGUUGUAAACUGCUUUUGUACGGAACGAAACGGUCCGGGUUAAUACCCUGGGCUAAUGACGGUACCGUAAGAAUAAGCACCGGCUAACUACGUGCCAGCAGCCGCGGUAAUACGUAGGGUGCAAGCGUUAAUCGGAAUUACUGGGCGUAAAGCGUGCGCAGGCGGUUUUGUAAGACAGGCGUGAAAUCCCCGGGCUCAACCUGGGAAUUGCGCUUGUGACUGCAAGGCUGGAGUGCGGCAGAGGGGGAUGGAAUUCCGCGUGUAGCAGUGAAAUGCGUAGAUAUGCGGAGGAACACCGAUGGCGAAGGCAAUCCCCUGGACCUGUACUGACGCUCAUGCACGAAAGCGUGGGGAGCAAACAGGAUUAGAUACCCCAGUAGUCC